Molecule: ribosomal RNA, 640 nt
Filed under: Byrsopteryx gomezi
Lineage: Eukaryota; Metazoa; Arthropoda; Insecta; Trichoptera; Hydroptilidae
Description: bacterial SSU rRNA
Rfam family: Eukaryotic small subunit ribosomal RNA
Source: RNAcentral
GUUAAAAAGCUCGUAGUUGAAAUUGUGUCCUGCGGCGUCGGUCUACCGAAUGCGGUACGACAGGCGCGUCUGCGGGGCUUCUCGCCGGUGCGUCCACCGCCUGUGUGAUGCGUCAACGUAAGCGUCGGUAUGCAGCAUUUGUAUGAUUAUAUUUUAUAUGUAUGUAUAAUGUAUUUAUAUGUUAUAUGUAUGUAYAUAUGUAAUUUGUAUUUAUGUAUUAAAUGUGUAUCGAUCAACGCCCGUUGAUUAGCUCACCGUGGCGGGCCGUCGCGGCUGUUUACUUUGAACAAAUUAGAGUGCUCAAAGCGGGCUAAGUUUCGCCUGAAUAUUGUACGCAUGGAAUAAUAGAAUAGGACCUCGGUUCUGUUUUGUUGGCUUUCUGAUACCAGAGGUAAUGAUUAAUAGGGACAACUGGGGGCAUUCGUAUUGCGACGUUAGAGGUGAAAUUCUUGGAUCGUCGCAAGACGAACUAAAGCGAAAGCAUUUGCCAAAGGUGUUUUCAUUAAUCAAGAACGAAAGUUAGAGGUUCGAAGGCGAUUAGAUACCGCUGUAGUUCUAACCAUAAAUGAUGCCAGCCAGCGAUCCGCCGAAGAUUCAUAAUUUUAUCCCGGUGGGCAGCUCCCGGGAAACCAAAGCUUUC